AGAGUUUGAUCAUGGCUCAGGACGAACGCUGGCGGCGCGCUUAACACAUGCAAGUCGUACGGGUUCACUCCUUCGGGAGCGUGCUAGUGGCGAACGGGUGCGUAACACGUGAGCAACCUGCCUGUUGGUGGGGGAUAACCCGGGGAAACCCGGGCUAAUACCGCAUGAGCUCUCCGGGCCGAUUGACCUGGAGAGGAAAGCCGCUUAACGGCGGCGCCAGUAGAGGGGCUCGCGGCGUAUCAGGUAGUUGGUGGGGUAACGGCCCACCAAGCCGACGACGCGUAGCCGAUCUGAGAGGAUGAUCGGCCACAUUGGGACUGAGAUACGGCCCAGACUCCUACGGGAGGCAGCAGUGGGGAAUCUUGCGCAAUGGGCGAAAGCCUGACGCAGCGACGCCGCGUGCGGGAGGAAGCUCUUCGGGGUGUAAACCGCUGUCAGAGGGGAAGAAAUGUCCCGGGAGGAAAUGCUCGGGAUUUGACGGUACCCUCAGAGGAAGCACCGGCUAACUCUGUGCCAGCAGCCGCGGUAAUACAGAGGGUGCGAGCGUUGUUCGGAAUUACUGGGCGUAAAGCGCGCGCAGGCGGCCCUUUAAGUCUGUCGGUCAAAUGCCGGGGCUCAACCCCGUGCUCGCCGGAGAUACUGGAGGGCUGGAGACACGUAGAGGCAAGCGGAAUUCCGGGUGUAGCGGUGGAAUGCGUAG
This 700-nucleotide ribosomal RNA is filed under the name uncultured bacterium. RNAcentral describes it as "bacterial SSU rRNA". It matches the Rfam family "Bacterial small subunit ribosomal RNA", at positions 8 to 693 of the family's 1533-position model. The record is from RNAcentral.